GAAAUAUAAAAAUUUUAAGAUGAAGCUGCUAACUUUAACUUUAGUGGUUAAAUUCCAUUAAUAUUUCU
Molecule: transfer RNA, 68 nt
Filed under: Prismosticta microprisma
Lineage: Eukaryota; Metazoa; Arthropoda; Insecta; Lepidoptera; Endromidae
Description: tRNA-Ser
Source: RNAcentral